CGAACGGGGAAGAGCUCAUAGCCGAAUCCGGCGCCGCAAGGCGUCUGAAAUGUGGCGUAUGGGAGGCGGAGUCCUCCGAGUGCGACCGGCGGUACAAGUCCCCAUGAGAGGGGCUGUUACCCGGAGCGGGUGCUAGGCCCGUACCGCCGCCGGUCCGCGCGCGGAGUUGCCGUUCUCCCGGGAGUCGGGUUGCUUGGGAGUGCAGCCCUAAGUGGGUGGUAAACUCCACCUAAAGCUAAAUAAGACCGAGAGACCGAUAGCGAACAAGUACCGUGAGGGAAAGUUGAAAAGCACUUUGAAGAGAGAGUUCAAGAGUACGUGAAACCGUUCAGAGGUAAACGGGUGGGACCUCGAAGUCCGAAGGCGGUGGUGGAUUCAGUCGGUUUCGGGGCUCUAACUCAGGGACGUCACCCCACGACGGGGCCGUCCCCGGGGUAGGGCCUCGGUUCCGGCGCACUUCCACGCCCCGUCCAGUAGGGCGUCGCGACCGGUUGGAAGGCUGUCGUAAGGACGGACGCGAAAGGUGGCCGCAUUUCCCUCGGGAUCUGCGGUGUUACAGGCGGUCCAAUCCCGACGGGUCGUCCGACCGGGGUCGAGUUCAUCUCCGUAGCGUUCCCUUCCCGAAGGAAGCGGCGCCCGGGUCGAGCUUUCGGCGGAACGGCGUGCCACCAUCAAAGGUGAGCGCCUUCCGAAGGAGGUUUCUGUCCCGAAGCGCCGCGGGGAGCCGGAGGUCGCGGCGAGUAGGUCGGUUACCCACCCGACCCGUCUUGAAACACGGACCAAGGAGUCUAGCGCGUGUGCGAGUUCCCGGGACUUGAUUAGGCCCGCGGGCGAAAUGAAAGUGAAGGGCGGCUUCCGCCGUCCGAGUUGGGAUCCGCUCCUUCGGGGGCGGCGCACCAACGGCCCGUCCGACGCCGGUUUCGGCGGGGCGGAGCUAGAGCAUACGCUCUGGGACCCGAAAGAUGGUGAACUAUGCCUGGGCAGGACGAGGCCAGAGGAAACUCUGGUGGAGGUCCGUAGCGAUUCUGACGUGCAAAUCGAU
RNAcentral lists this ribosomal RNA (1042 nucleotides) under Bisetocreagris cheni. RNAcentral's name for it is "partial large subunit ribosomal RNA". It matches the Rfam family "Eukaryotic large subunit ribosomal RNA", at positions 94 to 902 of the family's 3401-position model. The record is from RNAcentral. Lineage: Eukaryota; Metazoa; Arthropoda; Arachnida; Pseudoscorpiones; Neobisiidae.